This 253-nucleotide ribosomal RNA is filed under the name uncultured bacterium. RNAcentral's name for it is "partial 16S ribosomal RNA". It matches the Rfam family "Bacterial small subunit ribosomal RNA", at positions 524 to 776 of the family's 1533-position model. The record is from RNAcentral.
UACGUAGGGUGCGAGCGUUGUCCGGAAUUACUGGGCGUAAAGAGUUCGUAGGCGGUUUGUCACGUCGGCUGUGAAAACCCGGGGCUCAACCCCGGGCCUGCAGUCGAUACGGGCAGACUAGAGUGCGGUAGGGGAGACUGGAAUUCCUGGUGUAGCGGUGAAAUGCGCAGAUAUCAGGAGGAACACCGGUGGCGAAGGCGGGUCUCUGGGCCGAUACUGACGCUGAGGAGCGAAAGCGUGGGGAGCGAACAGG